GGGGGGACGGGGAGAAGUGGGGGCAUCAAUCCUUCACAUCAUUUCACCACAUAACUUCGAUCUGGUUGUUUGACCAGGUGUGAUUUGAGGACUACAUGAAGGCUUGCCCAAUGACUAAGACUUGCUGGAUGAUGUGCUUAACAACAUGUCUCUAGGGAAUUGAUCCCAUGUUACCAAUGUCCCCUGAGAUUCAAGACUACUAUCAAUACUUGCUUGGGGAUGUGGAACCUCCGCCAGGACCCAUCGUCCUCCCACAUGAUGUCACUCCCAGUGCAUUAUCAAAGAUCAUUUACCAGACACUGGUGAAGAAAGCAUCCUUGCUGGAAGAUACACACCAUGUUCAAAUACUGUACAGUGCUUGGGCGGUUCUUAAUGAUGCCUACACGCCUGUCAAUGCCUCACAUAGAUCAGUGCAGACUGAGAUCACGCUCGGCCCAGCCGGGCCCUGGGCGCCCGUGCGUGAGUCGAUGACACAGACGGCUGAGGUCGUGCCUGAGCGGCCGGCUGUGCGACAUUGGGCGUCGCAGACCGCAGGCCCGGAAAGCCUGAGAGACGCUCCCUCACAGACAACCGCGCAGCGAAGCCCCAAGGAUGCCGCCUCGCAGACGGCCACUCAGCAGACGACGUGCAGCUCAUCGCAGACAGCCAGCCUGAGCAGCGUUCGAGACCGGAGCUCGCAGACAGCCACUCAGCAGACGACGUGCAGCUCAUCGCAGACAGCCAGCCUGAGCAGCGUUCGAGGCCGGAGCUGGCAGACAGCCACUCAGCAGACGACGUGCAGCUCAUCGCAGACAGCCAGCCUGAGCAGCGUUCGAGACCGGAGCUCGCAGACGGCCCUGCCGCGGAGCGUGCAGGACUCAGCCUGCCAGACGGCAACCGUGCGAGACCCACCCGGCCCCGCCUGUCAGACGACCGGCGCGCCCGACUGGCCAGCGGCGGCGGCGGCGGACCGAGCU
Molecule: long non-coding RNA, 956 nt
Organism: Pollicipes pollicipes
Lineage: Eukaryota; Metazoa; Arthropoda; Thecostraca; Pollicipedomorpha; Pollicipedidae
Exons: 4
Source: RefSeq, a predicted model, not a curated record